UGGGGAAUCUUCCGCAAUGGACGAAAGUCUGACGGAGCAACGCCGCGUGAGUGAAGACGGCCUUCGGGUUGUAAAGCUCUGUGAUCCGGGACGAAAGAGCCUGAGGUGAAUAGCCUAAGGAAGUGACGGUACCGGACAAGCAAGCCACGGCUAACUACGUGCCAGCAGCCGCGGUAAUACGUAGGUGGCAAGCGUUGUCCGGAAUUAUUGGGCGUAAAGCGCGCGCAGGCGGCUUCCUAAGUCCAUCUUAAAAGUGCGGGGCUUAACCCCGUGAUGGGAUGGAAACUGGGAAGCUGGAGUAUCGGAGAGGAAAGUGGAAUUCCUAGUGUAGCGGUGAAAUGCGUAGAGAUUAGGAAGAACACCGGUGGCGAAGGCGACUUUCUGGACGAAAACUGACGCUGAGGCGCGAAAGCGUGGGGAGCAAACAGG
RNAcentral lists this ribosomal RNA (429 nucleotides) under Fusobacteriota bacterium. Its description in RNAcentral is "Fusobacteria bacterium partial 16S ribosomal RNA". It matches the Rfam family "Bacterial small subunit ribosomal RNA", at positions 355 to 776 of the family's 1533-position model. Lineage: Bacteria; Fusobacteriati; Fusobacteriota. The record is from RNAcentral.